GAACGCUGGCGGCAUGCCUUACACAUGCAAGUCGAACGGCAGCACGGGAGCAAUCCUGGUGGCGAGUGGCGAACGGGUGAGUAAUAUAUCGGAACGUGCCCAGUCGUGGGGGGAUAACGUAGCGAAAAGCUACGCUAAUACCGCAUACGAUCUAUGGAUGAAAGCGGGGGGAUCGCAAGACCUCGCGCGAUUGGAGCGGCCGAUAUCAGAUUAGGUAGUUGGUGAGGUAAAGGCUCACCAAGCCGACGAUCUGUAGCUGGUCUGAGAGGACGACCAGCCACACUGGGACUGAGACACGGCCCAGACUCCUACGGGAGGCAGCAGUGGGGAAUUUUGGACAAUGGGCGAAAGCCUGAUCCAGCAAUGCCGCGUGCAGGAAGAAGGCCUUCGGGUUGUAAACUGCUUUUGUACGGAACGAAGAGGCUCUUUCUAAUAAAGAGGGCCCAUGACGGUACCGUAAGAAUAAGCACCGGCUAACUACGUG
Molecule: ribosomal RNA, 484 nt
Filed under: uncultured bacterium
Lineage: Bacteria
Description: bacterial SSU rRNA
Rfam family: Bacterial small subunit ribosomal RNA
Source: RNAcentral